Molecule: ribosomal RNA, 463 nt
Filed under: uncultured bacterium
Lineage: Bacteria
Description: partial 16S ribosomal RNA
Rfam family: Bacterial small subunit ribosomal RNA
Source: RNAcentral
CUACGGGAGGCUCCAGCUAAGAAUCUUCCACAAUGGACGAAAGUCUGAUGGAGCGACGCCGCGUGAACGAUGAAGGCCGUGAGGUUGUAAAGUUCUUUUCAUGAGGAGGAAUAAGGGGAGCAGGGAAUGGCUCUCCGAUGACGUUAAUCAUGGAAUAAGCCCCGGCUAACUACGUGCCAGCAGCCGCGGUAACACGUAGGGGGCGAGCGGUGUUCGGAAUUAUUGGGCGUAAAGGGUGCGCAGGUGGCAUGGCAAGUCUGGUGUAAAAGUUCUCGGCUUAACCGAGUGAGGCGCUGGAAACUGUUGUGCUUGAGUACAGGAGGGGAUGUUGGAAUUCCAGGUGUAGGGGUGAAAUCUGUAGAUAUCUGGAAGAACACCGGUGGCGAAGGCGGACAUCUGGCCAUGUACUGACACUGAGGCACGAAGGUGCGGGGAGCAAACAGGAUUAGAUACCCCCGUAGUC